RNAcentral lists this ribosomal RNA (863 nucleotides) under uncultured Methanocorpusculum sp. RNAcentral describes it as "bacterial SSU rRNA". It matches the Rfam family "Archaeal small subunit ribosomal RNA", at positions 1 to 873 of the family's 1478-position model. The record is from RNAcentral. Lineage: Archaea; Methanobacteriati; Methanobacteriota; Methanomicrobia; Methanomicrobiales; Methanocorpusculaceae.
UUCUGGUUGAUCCUGCCGGAGGUUAUUGCUAUCAGGGUUUGACUAAGCCAUGCGAGUCGAGAGGUGUAAGACCUCGGCAUACUGCUCAGUAACACAUGGAUAAUCUGCCCUUAGGUGGAGGAUAUCCCCGGGAAACUGGGACUAAUACUCCAUAGUGGAUAUAUGCUGGAAUGCUGUAUCCUCGAAAGAUUAAUCGCCUAAGGAUGAGUCUGUGCCCGAUUAGGUUGUUGGCGGGGCAACGGCCCACCAAGCCAUUGAUCGGUACGGGUUGUGGGAGCAAGAUCCCGGAGAUGGAUUCUGAGACAUGAAUCCAGGCCCUACGGGGCGCAGCAGGCGCGCAAACUUUACAAUGCGAGCAAUCGUGAUAAGGAAACCCUGAGUGCCUGUCGAUGCAGGCUGUUCAUAUAUCUAAAUCAUAUGUGAAGAAAGGGCAGGGCAAGACCGGUGCCAGCCGCCGCGGUAAUACCGGCUGCUCGAGUGAUAACCACUAUUACUGGGUUUAAAGCGUCCGUAGCUUGAUUGUUAGGUCUCUUGGGAAAUCUUCACGCUCAACGUGAAGGCGUCUAAGAGAUACCGGCAAUCUUGGAACUGGGAGAGGUAAACCGUACUUCGGGGGUAGGAGUGAAAUCUUGUAAUCCUCGAGGGACGACCUAUGGCGAAGGCAGUUUACCAGAACAGCUUCGACAGUGAGGGACGAAAGCUGGGGGAGCAAACGGGAUUAGAUACCCCGGUAGUCCCAGCCGUAAACAAUGUGCGUUAGGUCUGUCGGUAACCACGUGUUACUGAUGAGCCGAAGAGAAAUCGUGAAACGCACCACCUGGGAAGUACGGUCGCAAGGCUGAAACUUAAAGGAAUUGGCGGGA